UGGGGAAUAUUGCACAAUGGAGGGAACUCUGAUGCAGCGACUCCGCGUGAACGAAGAAGGCUUUCGAGUCGUAAAGUUCUUUUAUAUGGGAAGAUAAUGACGGUACCAUAAGAAAAAGCCCCGGCUAACUACGUGCCAGCAGCCGCGGUAAUACGUAGGGGGCUAGCGUUGUCCGGAAUCACUGGGCGUAAAGGGUUCGCAGGCGGAAAUGCAAGUCAGGUGUAAAAGGCAGUAGCUUAACUACUGUAAGCAUUUGAAACUGCAUAUCUUGAGAAGAGUAGAGGUAAGUGGAAUUUUUAGUGUAGCGGUGAAAUGCGUAGAUAUUAAAAAGAAUACCGGUGGCGAAGGCGACUUACUGGGCUCAUUCUGACGCUGAGGAACGAAAGCGUGGGUAGCAAACAGG
RNAcentral lists this ribosomal RNA (403 nucleotides) under Fusobacteriota bacterium. RNAcentral's name for it is "Fusobacteria bacterium partial 16S ribosomal RNA". It matches the Rfam family "Bacterial small subunit ribosomal RNA", at positions 355 to 776 of the family's 1533-position model. The record is from RNAcentral. Lineage: Bacteria; Fusobacteriati; Fusobacteriota.